Non-coding RNA from Pelobates cultripes (western spadefoot toad), 688 nucleotides. Lineage: Eukaryota; Metazoa; Chordata; Amphibia; Anura; Pelobatidae. The record is from the annotation of a GenBank genome assembly.
CUGGUGCGCGUUUAAAUUUUUUCUAAUAUACAUAUAUAUUGGCCUUCAAAGGGUCCUUCAAAGGGUCCAGGACCUAAUUUUGCUCAGUGGCCCAAAUGGCUAUAAGUCCGUCCCUGAGGGGCACAUAAAAAAUAUGAUGUUCUGAAAUGUGGUCUAAAAUAAUAAAUGUUAGGUAUCGACCAUGGAAACUAGCAGGUACAUAGCACUGGUGACUCUGAGACCAUUCCCUGUUUGCAUCACUCUUCAGAACAUACACUUUUUGUACAUGACCUAGUGCAGAGCUCGACAAAUCCCAGACGCCAGGUCGCCAUGGUGACUAGAAAUAUUUUGCUGGCUUUUUUCAGCCCUUUACCUAAAGCGUCUGGCAAGGCAGACAGCCCUAGGCUGCAUGGAGGUGGCCGGUUUAUGGAGCGUUGUAGUUGGCCGCCCUGGGGAGCAAGGAGGCGGCCGUCUCAGGGAGCGAUGUAGCUAGCUAGCUUCCCACCCUCCCUGGGAAUCAAAGAGGUCGGCUGAGGCAGCAGUGAUCUUCCUGCAGCUCCUUUCUGCUCCCUCGUGCUGUAUAGUGAUGCCAGGAGCUGGAAUAGGACGUCACUCCAGCCCCGGCAUCACUGCAGAGAGGAGCUGCAGGUGGAUUACUGCUUCCUUGCAUGCAGGAAGAGAGAGCAGCCUCACUGAACCCCAGGGAAAG